RNAcentral lists this ribosomal RNA (508 nucleotides) under uncultured bacterium. Its description in RNAcentral is "partial 16S ribosomal RNA". It matches the Rfam family "Bacterial small subunit ribosomal RNA", at positions 28 to 507 of the family's 1533-position model. The record is from RNAcentral.
GACGAACGCUGGCGGCGUGCCUAAUACAUGCAAGUCGAACGCUUCUUUCCUCCCGAGUGCUUGCACUCCAUUGGAAAGAGGAGUGGCGGACGGGUGAGUAACACGUGGGUAACCUACCCAUCAGAGGGGGAUAACACUUGGAAACAGGUGCUAAUACCGCAUAACAGUUUAUGCCGCAUGGCAUAAGAGUGAAAGGCGCUUUCGGGUGUCGUUGAUGGAUGGACCCGCGGUGCAUUAGCUAGUUGGUGAGGUAACGGCUCACCAAGGCCACGAUGCAAAGCCGACCUGAGAGGGUGAUCGGCCACACUGGGACUGAGACACGGCCCAGACUCCUACGGGAGGCAGCAGUAGGGAAUCUUCGGCAAUGGACGAAAGUCUGACCGAGCAACGCCGCGUGAGUGAAGAAGGUGUUCGGAUCGUAAAACUCUGUUGUUAGAGAAGAACAAGGACGUUAGUAACUGAACGUCCCCUGACGGUAUCUAACCAGAAAGCCACGGCUAACUACGUG